CACAGCAAGGAGAAAAUGUUCCUCUGAGACGAUCCGCACACACAAUAGCUCAGGAUUGGACAUUUUUUGGUCACCUGACCCAGUCAAUGAUUGACGGGAACGUUCCAGGUUGACUUUUUAUUGCAGUCCAACUACUCAGAUGAUCAGAACACAUUUGUACUGAGCAGAACAGGUCGUAAAGAUGUAAUGAUUGACGGGAACGUUCCAGGUUGACUUUUUAUUGCAGUCCAACUACUCAGAUGAUCAGAACACAUUUGUACUGAAUUGUAAUCUGAGCAGAACAGGUCGAAAAAGGUAUAACUUGUAUGUUUUUUGAUAAAAGUGUGAAUAUCAGUUUGAUAGUUCAAUUUUAGUCGUCACUCUUAUCCAGAGCGACUUAGUCCAUACGUGUUCUUACUUAUUAUUUCUCACAUACUGGUUUCCCCGUGGGAAUCGAACCCACGACCCUGGCGUUGAAAGCUCCAAUGCUCUAUAACCAACUGAACCACACGGAACCUCCCUCAUCCUUUUAGUUCUUUAAAAGGUCCGAUGCUCUAUAACCAACUGAACCACACGGAACCUCCCUCAUCCUUUUAGUUCUUUAAAAGGUCCGAUGCUCUAUAACCAACUGAACCACACGGAACCUCCCUCAUCCUUUUAGUUCUUUAAAAGGUCCGAUGCUCUAUAACCAACUGAACCACACGGAACCUCCCUCAUCCUUUUAGUUCUUUAAAAGGUCCGAUGCUCUAUAACCAACUGAACCACACGGAACCUCCCUCAUCCUUUUAGUUCUUUAAAAGGUCCGAUGCUCUAUAACCAACUGAACCACACGGAACCUCCCUCAUCCUUUUAGUUCUUUAAAAGGUCCGAUGCUCUAUAACCAACUGAACCACACGGAACCUCCCUCAUCCUUUUAGUUCUUUAAAAGGUCCGAUGCUCUAUAACCAACUGAACCACACGGAACCUCCCUCAUCCUUUUAGUUCUUUAAAAGGUCCGAUGCUCUAUAACCAACUGAACCACACGGAACCUCCCUCAUCCUUUUAGUUCUUUAAAAGGUCCGAUGCUCUAUAACCAACUGAACCACACGGAACCUCCCUCAUUCUUUUAGUUCUUUAAAAGGUCCGAUGCGCAGCUGUUUUUUUUCUUCAUCUUAAUAGCAAAUAAUUUCUGGGGAACAGUUAAGGACAUUACUGUGAUUUGUUUUCAAUAAAAACGCAACAAAAUAAAUGAGCAAAAAUAG
Long non-coding RNA from Oncorhynchus nerka (sockeye salmon), 1220 nucleotides. RefSeq lists it as uncharacterized. Lineage: Eukaryota; Metazoa; Chordata; Actinopteri; Salmoniformes; Salmonidae. The record is from RefSeq and is a predicted model, not a curated record. The transcript has 2 exons.